ACUCAACUGUCGAGUCCCAAAUAGGACGAAACACGCGUCCUAGAU
This 45-nucleotide non-coding RNA is filed under the name Schistosoma mansoni. Lineage: Eukaryota; Metazoa; Platyhelminthes; Trematoda; Strigeidida; Schistosomatidae. The record is from RNAcentral.